GUCCGCGUGUUCUAGUGGUCAUGAUUUGGUUCUCACAUUCACAUGUUGAUCAGCCGAGGUCCUGGGUUCGAACCCCAGCGUGGACA
This 86-nucleotide transfer RNA is filed under the name Rhodotorula toruloides. Its description in RNAcentral is "tRNA-Val (CAC) cove score=59.34". It matches the Rfam family "tRNA". Rfam says of the family: Transfer RNA (tRNA) molecules are approximately 80 nucleotides in length. Their secondary structure includes four short double-helical elements and three loops (D, anti-codon, and T loops). Further hydrogen bonds mediate the characteristic L-shaped molecular structure. tRNAs have two regions of fundamental functional importance: the anti-codon, which is responsible for specific mRNA codon recognition, and the 3' end, to which the tRNAs corresponding amino acid is attached (by aminoacyl-tRNA synthetases). tRNAs cope with the degeneracy of the genetic code in two manners: having more than one tRNA (with a specific anti-codon) for a particular amino acid; and 'wobble' base-pairing, i.e. permitting non-standard base-pairing at the 3rd anti-codon position. The record is from RNAcentral. Lineage: Eukaryota; Fungi; Basidiomycota; Microbotryomycetes; Sporidiobolales; Sporidiobolaceae.